AAAGUUUGAAUUGAGACAAGAGAGCCUGCAAAUCGUUAAAUCUACCUAUCCUCUACCAGACCCACAAGAGGUUAGCACAGAAGCCAUUAAUCUAGUUGUGAACAAAGUAACAGAGUUGGGUGAAGAAUGGGAGAAUCCUCUGAGAAGCCUAAAGAGGAAAUCGAAGAAGAAAAAGGCAAGGACCCUAGCAGUCAGUGUUAAUGAGAAAUUUAUGGUUGCAGAUGAAGAGAAAAGAACGGAUGGGAUACUCUUUUCCCAUUCAGAUCACGAGAGUGAGAGAGGCAAAUUAAAGGAUGAUAUGCACAAGAAAUACUGUACAGAUUCUGAGGGUCCAGCAAUCCGGGAAAAACAGGCCAGAAAAGGGGCUCUACCAGGGUGGUAAUUCGUCCUUCCAAAUUUAAAUUAUGA
This is a long non-coding RNA of Juglans microcarpa x Juglans regia, 408 nucleotides long. RefSeq lists it as uncharacterized. The transcript has 3 exons. Lineage: Eukaryota; Viridiplantae; Streptophyta; Magnoliopsida; Fagales; Juglandaceae. The record is from RefSeq and is a predicted model, not a curated record.